Long non-coding RNA from Solea senegalensis (Senegalese sole), 1212 nucleotides. RefSeq lists it as uncharacterized. The record is from RefSeq and is a predicted model, not a curated record. The transcript is spliced from 2 exons. Lineage: Eukaryota; Metazoa; Chordata; Actinopteri; Pleuronectiformes; Soleidae.
CACGCUGGAGGAGUGAACAGAGCGGGAGGAGCGGCACAUUUCAGCCUAAGUGCGUUGUCACGUUCAGUGUGUUUAUGGAUGACAACAGAAGCAGCAGGAGUUACCCAUGUCUCCAGGUGUCAGCCACAGGUUGAAGGAGCUGCAGUGUUUCUGACAGCGUUGAACAGGCAGAACUCGAACUGUUGGCAGUCCCUCACCAACCACCAGCCAGCCCAAUACCCUGACACCCUGUUACACAGACCGCAACUCACAUUUACAGACAUUUAAGACUCAGGGUACACAUGUUGCAAAUGUUACUUUAUUUCCAAAGACUUCUCUCAAUAAGUGCAAAAAAAGAAGAACUCACCUUGCUCUGGGAAGCUGUGCUGUGGGUGACAAGGCAACGCUGCAGGAUGGUCCCAGCACUGUCCAGUAGGGGGCAGAGCUCAGCUUUUGGGAAGAGCCACCUCAACACCUUCUCCCUUGCUCCAGAGCUGAACCUCCUACAGACACAGCACAACACCAGCAGUCAGUGUCUGUAAAUUUUACAGAGUCCAUUUGGUGUGUGUACAGAGGUACGAAACUUCACAGUUGAGUAUGUGUACCAGAGCAGGGUGAAGUUAGCGGGUCCUUGAGGAAGGCCAAAGUUGUUGUUCUGCAUAAUUUCGUCAUCAUCCUCUAGCAGAAUGGACAUGGACCCUGAGUGAGCUAAAUAGAGCUCCUCCAGCUGCUGCCGCUGGACACUGAGGGACUCCCCACCCUGGAAUGGUUGGAUGGGUGACAUGAUUACACAACUCGGAGAGAUUGGAAAAGAAUGCAACAUUACUGCAACAACUAUCAAAUCUGAUGUGGCCUGUUCAGCAACUUUUAAAAAUAUCUUCAAAUAUAUUUUUUGUAAGAGGUGAGGCAGCAGUGAACCAUGUCUUCCCUACUCUAAAGCAGUACCUUCAGCAGGACAAGUUGUGGCCCCCGUCGAAGAGUCACCGUCCCUCUAAGGCUCUCUGGGACCUCCAGCACAGAGGAGAUCUCUGCACAGCCUGAACAGUUGACUAGAUUCUGUCGUAAAGUGCCUGCACUCCACCACUCAUGGAAACCUGCAAACAAGCACAAAUUAACCAUUAUCAAGUGCCUCAACUUUGUCCAUUUGCAUGUAAUUUUAGGGCCAACUAGGUAAACUAUAUAAUAUAAUAUUAAAGCUGCAGUGUGUGACUUAAUAAAGAUAUAUUGAUGUUA